Long non-coding RNA from Stegostoma tigrinum, 2485 nucleotides. RefSeq lists it as uncharacterized. The transcript has 4 exons. Lineage: Eukaryota; Metazoa; Chordata; Chondrichthyes; Orectolobiformes; Stegostomatidae. The record is from RefSeq and is a predicted model, not a curated record.
UUUGUUAUGGCAGCCUGAAACGACGCACGUGUUUCCACGUCGCUGCUCUACCAGCAACAAUGUGACUGGCAGCGGCACACGGCUGGAAUCCCCUACCCACCUCCUCCCUCCCCACACAAACACACCAUCUCCCAACACCUCCCCCAGGGACUGCGCGCGGAUGUACUACCUCCCCCACUCAGGGUUGGGCAGAAACCCCUGGGUCGAGCGAGCGCGGAGACCCCCCAGCAAAAAAAGGGAUCAACGUUGGAAAAUACAACAUGAAUGCUCUUAUCACGACUCAAAAUUAACAUAAACAACAUCGUAAGCAACCGUUCCCCUGCGUGAGUUCUCUUCAGUAUCACGGCAGCAAUUGGUUUCAAUUGAAUUCCGUGCCCCAGAUCAAGCAAACUCGAGUCCAAUUCGUGAUUCAUAUUUCAAUGUACCCUGCCCAAAAGUGCAGAAGAUUGGCCAGUGACGAAAAAGAUCGUGCUUGAUUGCAAGAGACCAACCCAACGUUGAACAUCUUGGGAUAGAGCCACUGUAUUGACCGUCGAUAAUAGUUGACUCAGACUUCGAAAAACUAAAACAGGAGAUAGGCUGGAACCUGUAGAGUUGUAAAUUAAGGUAAUUCACUGUCGAUAGGAACUGGAAAGAAAUUCUGUAUUCCUACAGUGUCCAUUUAACUCAGCACCUGUGCUACUGUUAAAGGUGACAUCUUCAGUGCGGUAGAGCCUCCUGUGAAGCGCUGUUGUUCAAAUUUAUAUGCUCUGGCUAUGGUGUGGAUUUCUUGGACACUUUUGUCACAUGUCAGCGGGUCUUAAGCUAUUUCAGCAACCACCCUAACUCUCACAUGAGGAGCUGCGUUAGGACACUGUUCAAAAGGGCCACUACACACUGCAACACACCUGAUCUGAGGAAGGAAGAAGACCCUCUACAAGGUUUUUACCAGGAAUGGAUACCCCCACAGCUUCAUCCACAGAUGGCUAGCCAACAGACAACAUAACCAGGACACAACAAAACCCAAAACAAUAUAUGAAAAACACCUCCGAACUGACAGUCAGACUGCUAGGAAUCAUGACUGCACUCAAACCAGCAGCCGCACUAAGACAGCAACUGACCAGAGUUAAGGACGCAAUAGAUACCAUGGACAGGAUGAAUAUGGUCUACAAGAUACCAUGCAGAGACUGCACAAAAUACUACAUGGGACAAACAGGCAGACAACUGGCAACCCACAUCCAUGAACGCCAGUUAGCAAUUAAAUGACACAACCAGAUGUCCUUGGUUUCAAUACACUCAGACGAACAAAACCACACUUACAACUGGGACAACACUACUAUCAUUGGACAAACUAAAAAGAGGACAGGCAUUCAUCUGCAGACUCCAUCAACAAACACGUGGAAUUAGACCCAACAUGCUGACCAUUACAACGCACAGACGGAACUGGCACCUACCAAAAACAGCAAAAACCAGACCUUAUGAAUUCAAACUGGCACUGACAGCAGUGCAUGACUAGGAUAACUAACUGGAUCACAUAAUAGGCCCAAGUCACUCAUGUCAAGAGAAGAAACUGUUCUUUGAAGGAUAUGGGUUCAAAUCUGUCUCUUGACUUCAUCUUUCCAGGCAAUUACCAUGCAUUUACAUAGGACAGGACUUCUAAAGGAUUCUGAUGCUCUAAAGUGGUGGAUGUAGCCAACUUGUGCUGUGCUGGUGUCCCUACCCUUGGACUGCAAGCCCCAGUUCAAGUCUCAUCUGCUCCUGAGAUUCCACAUUUCAUUUGUCACUGAUUUGAUUUCCUUCCUUGGCCAAUGGGAAGAUCUGGGACUAGAAUCAGCCAAGACUUAAAAAUGUACAGACGACAUCUCUCUUUUAUUUAAAAAGCUUUUUCAGCCUUGCUGCUUGCAGAGUCUGUCUCCUAGUUCAAAUCUCUGCUAUCUGCAACAAAAUGUGCGAGAUUACAAAUAAAAAAAACUGUAUUACAAUCCCCUCUUUCUUAGUUCAUGAGUAGAUUGUUGCAAUUAUUUGUUUCCAAAACGUAAACUAUAAACCUCAGCAUAAAUAGAACAUUCAGUGAAUUACACAUUUUCUAGCUUUGUAUUCAUCUACUGCUGCACUUGUUUAUAGAUGAGAUGAAAAGUUUGUUGACCAACUGAAAACAGUUCAAUUUGUAACAUGGUAUGGUCAACGUUUUCACUCCAUGAAUUUAACGGUGUAUAAUGUUAACUGUAGUCUCACGUAAAUCGUGUUCUUCAUUUGAGAUGUUUGACAUGGAAAUGGCAUUCACUGUUAACGAAUGAUGUUUUGGUAGUGGUGUGCAUUGAAGAAUGACAUUUUAUGUAAUGAUUUGUGAACUGUGCUUAGCAGUAAUCAAUGAUAAUUUUUGUGUUGGCUACAAUAAAUGGCUGGAUGCCACGAGGGUUUGCUUACUUUCUAACAUGAGCAUCAUGUUUCACAAGAUUUUGUUUUUCUCAUAAGUGAGAGGUUUUUAGGUCCAGAAACAGUCAGA